GAGUUUGAUCGUGGCUCAGAUUGAACGCUGGCGGCAGGCCUAACACAUGCAAGUCGAGCGGAUGACGGAGCUUGCUCCUUGAUUCAGCGGCGGACGGGUGAGUAAUGCCUAGGAAUCCUGCCUGGUAGUGGGGGACAACGUUUCGAAAGGAACGCUAAUACCGCAUACGUCCUACGGGAGAAAGCAGGGGACCUUCGGGCCUUGCGCUAUCAGAUGAGCCUAGGUCGGAUUAGCUAGUUGGUGGGGUAAUGGCUCACCAAGGCGACGAUCCGUAACUGGUCUGAGAGGAUGAUCAGUCACACUGGAACUGAGACACGGUCCAGACUCCUACGGGAGGCAGCAGUGGGGAAUAUUGGACAAUGGGCGAAAGCCUGAUCCAGCCAUGCCGCGUGUGUGAAGAAGGUCUUCGGAUUGUAAAGCACUUUAAGUUGGGAGGAAGGGCAGUUACCUAAUACGUGAUUGUUUUGACG
Molecule: ribosomal RNA, 470 nt
Filed under: bacterium enrichment culture clone ALO1_GLFRUDD03FSBEK
Lineage: Bacteria
Description: bacterial SSU rRNA
Rfam family: Bacterial small subunit ribosomal RNA
Source: RNAcentral